GGACCUUGAACUGGUUUUGUGCCUCAAU
RNAcentral lists this non-coding RNA (28 nucleotides) under Mus musculus (house mouse). Lineage: Eukaryota; Metazoa; Chordata; Mammalia; Rodentia; Muridae. The record is from RNAcentral.